RNAcentral lists this ribosomal RNA (570 nucleotides) under uncultured Glomeromycotina. RNAcentral describes it as "SSU rRNA". It matches the Rfam family "Eukaryotic small subunit ribosomal RNA", at positions 548 to 1114 of the family's 1831-position model. The record is from RNAcentral. Lineage: Eukaryota; Fungi; Glomeromycota.
UUGGAGGGCAAGUCUGGUGCCAGCAGCCGCGGUAAUUCCAGCUCCAAUAGCGUAUAUUAAAGUUGUUGCAGUUAAAAAGCUCGUAGUUGAAUUUCGGGAUUGACACAUCGGUCGUGCCUUAAGGGGUAUGAACUGGUGUAGUCAGUUUCUCACCUUCUGGAGAACCGCGAUGUCCCUAAUUGGGUGCCGCGAGGAACCAGGACCUUUACUUUGAAAAAAUUAGAGUGUUUAAAGCAGGCAUUUUGCUUGAAUACAUUAGCAUGGAAUAAUAAAAUAGGACGGAUGGUUCUAUUUUGUUGGUUUCUAGGAUCACCGUAAUGAUUAAUAGGGAUAGUUGGGGGCAUUAGUAUUCAAUUGUCAGAGGUGAAAUUCUUGGAUUUAUUGAAGACUAACUACUGCGAAAGCAUUUGCCAAGGAUGUUUUCAUUAAUCAAGAACGAAAGUUAGGGGAUCGAAGACGAUCAGAUACCGUCGUAGUCUUAACCAUAAACUAUGCCGACUAGGAAUCAGACGAUGUUAAUUUUUUAAUGACUCGUUUGGCACCUUACGGGAAACCAAAGUGUUUGGGUUC